UCCGUAGGCGGUGUGGCAAGUCGGGAGUGAAAUCUCUGGGCUUAACCCAGGGGCUGCUUCCGAAACUGCCGUGCUAGAGUGCGAGAGAGGUGAGUGGAAUUGCAGGUGUAGCGGUGAAAUGCGUAGAUAUCUGCAGGAACACCCGUGGCGAAGGCGGCUCACUGGAUCGCAACUGGCGCUGAGAGACGAAAGCUAGGGAGCAAACA
Molecule: ribosomal RNA, 206 nt
Filed under: uncultured bacterium
Lineage: Bacteria
Description: partial 16S ribosomal RNA
Rfam family: Bacterial small subunit ribosomal RNA
Source: RNAcentral